RNAcentral lists this ribosomal RNA (253 nucleotides) under uncultured bacterium. RNAcentral's name for it is "partial 16S ribosomal RNA". It matches the Rfam family "Bacterial small subunit ribosomal RNA", at positions 524 to 776 of the family's 1533-position model. The record is from RNAcentral.
UACAGAGGGUGCGAGCGUUGUUCGGCAUUAUUGGGCGUAAAGGGCGCGUAGGCGGUGCGGUAAGUCACCUGUGAAAUCUCCUGGCUCAACUGGGAGCUUGCAGGCGAAACUGCCGUGCUGGAGUGUGGGAGAGGUGCGUGGAAUUCCUGGUGUAGCGGUGAAAUGCGUAGAUAUCAGGAGGAACACCUGUGGCGAAAGCGGCGCACUGGACCACAACUGACGCUGAGGCGCGAAAGCUAGGGGAGCAAACAGG